This is a long non-coding RNA of Chiloscyllium plagiosum (whitespotted bambooshark), 1423 nucleotides long. RefSeq lists it as uncharacterized. The record is from RefSeq and is a predicted model, not a curated record. Lineage: Eukaryota; Metazoa; Chordata; Chondrichthyes; Orectolobiformes; Hemiscylliidae.
UUCAAUUCUUAAAUUAACAUUUAAACAUCCCUGUUUUUAUUUAUUUUUCUCAUUUUUUUGGAUUGGAACUUUGAGCUGAAUUUGAAAGUUAAACUUUGGACUUUGAGCAGUAGCUUGUUUUAAAACCAAACUGAUAUAUGUUUAUGGGAACUGGCUUGGAAAGUUAGUUGCAAGUUGUUUAUAAUUCUAAGAACACCACAGAAGUUUUGGCACCUGAGAUAUAUUAUGCUCAAGGACCGGCAGCUGCUUAAAAGGGUCAACAGAGAGAAUGUUGGAAACAAAAAGAAAUAUGAAAGAUUGAACUGGUUUUGAUUGUCUUUUUUUCUUGGCAGAAGGUAGUGUGGCUGUGAAAACUGCUGGAAAUGUUUUGGUUGCUCUCUUGAAUUCCUCCAGUUAUCAAAUUUUUAAAAGUUCUGAGGAAAGAACUGCAGUCUGUGUAACAUAAGUAAAAGUCUCCACAGUCUGUGAAAUCCAUUUGUAUUGACCAGUGACUUUAGAAUCAAGUCCCACAUACCUGUAAACAACUCAUUAUCCAAGGAAUGCAUGAAGGCUUAGCAACUAUCAUUUAUAGAAUCAUAGAAUCCCUACAGUAGGUAAGCAGGCCAUUUGGCCCAUUGUGUCCACAGUACCCAUCCAAAGGACAUCCCAGACCCACCCACCUACCCUGUCCCUGUAACCCUGCAUUUCCCAUGGCUAAUCCAUCUUGCCUGCACAUCCCUGGACACUAUGGGCAAUUUAGCAUGACCAACCCACCUUACCUAAUUUGAAACUGUUUAAGUGAACAAGCCAGUCACGACUUUUUAAAUUUUUAUUUUAUUUCAUCCCUUUAGAGUGUGUGUGUGUGCGCACAUGUCUGUGUAUCUUUGUGAGUAUGGGGAUUUAUGAUCAAAGAAGAUUGGGUUUAAAUUGUAGACAUUAAUUUGAAUGGGGGCAUCAGUUAGAUCAGUUGGUUGGAUCGUUGGUGAGUGAAGGCAACAGCGUGAGUUCAAUUUCCACUUCAGCAGAGAUUACCAUCAAGGAUUCUCCUUCUCAAACUUUUUCCUUCCCUGAGUAUGCUGACCUUCGGUUAAAACCAUCAUCAAAACCUUCACCAGUCAUCUCUCUCUCUAUUGAGACAGCAGCCCUCUUGUUUGACUAUCUGUACUCAAAGUUGAUAAAGUCACUGGGACUGCAUGGGAUUCAUCCAGGAUCUAACAACAGGAAAAAAUUGGUCUCCCAGUUGGUGUUCAUCCUUCUGCAGCAUGAUAGAGAUCAGGGCUAGUUUCUCCUCUAUCUGUUUACCCAACAUCUUGCAAGAGUUCGCGAGCCCCUUCACCAGGGCCUGGAAAGAAAUAGAGUCUGCGGAUCCUGCAGGCUGGGCCGGGGGCCUGGCCUCGUACGCUCCUCCUCUCUUCUUCGGCAUCUCUGGACGGCAAAAACUCAG